This 2447-nucleotide long non-coding RNA is filed under the name Pan troglodytes (chimpanzee). Its description in RNAcentral is "long non-coding RNA NONPTRT005824". Lineage: Eukaryota; Metazoa; Chordata; Mammalia; Primates; Hominidae. The record is from RNAcentral.
GCGGUGCUUGCUCUGGAUCCUGUGGCGGGGGCGUCUCUGCAGGCCAGGGUCCUGGGCGCCCGUGAAGAUGGAGCCAUAUUCCUGCAGGCGCUCUGGAGCAGGGUACUUGGCACUGGAGAACACCUGUGGACACAGGGACAAGUCUGAGGGGGCCCCAAGAGGCUCAGAGGGCUAGGAUUGCUUGGCAGGAGAGGGUGGAGUUGGGAGCCUGGGCGAGAAGAAAGCCCAAGGUAGAGGUGGGCAGCAGGGCAGAGACUGGGCAGCCUCAGAGGCACGGGGAAAUGGAGGGACUGCCCAGUAGCCUCAGGACACAGGGGCAUGGGGACUACCUUGAUGGCCUUCUUGCUGCCCUUGAUCUUCUCAAUCUUGGCCUGGGCCAAGGAGACCUUCUCUCCAAUGGCCUGCACCUGGCUCCGGCUCUGCUCUACCCGCUGGGAGAUCCUGCCAUGGAGAAGAUCACAGAGGCUGGGCUGCUCCCCACCCCCUGCACACCUCCUGCUCCUAACAGCAGAGCUGCCAGGCCAGGCCCUCAGGCAAGGGCUCUUAAGUCAGGGUCACCUGCUUGCCAGGGCUGAUCUUGGUGCCAUCCAGGGGGCCUCUACAAGGAUAAUCUGACCUGCAGGGUCGAGGAGUUGAUGGUACUGAGUUCCCUGCACUCUCAGUAGGGACAGGCCCUAUGCUGCCACCUGUACAUGCUAUCUGAAGGACAGCCUCCAGGGCACACAGAGGAUGGUAUUUACACAUGCACACAUGGCUAUUGAUGGGGCAAGCAUUUCACAACCCCUCAUGAUCACGUGCAGCAGACAAAGUAGCCUCUGCAGAGGGGGAAUGGAGACCGGAGGCUGAGACUGGCAAGGCUGGACCUGAGUGUCAUCACCUAAAUUCAGACGGGGAACUGCCCCCGCACAUAGUGAACGGCUCACUGAGCAAACCCUGAGUCCCAACCACCGCCUCAGUGUGGUCUAGCUCCUCACCUGCUUCCAUCCUCCCUGGUGCGGGGUGGGCCCAGUGAUAUCAGCUGCCUGCUGUUCCCCAGAUGUGCCAAGUGCAUUCUUAUGUGCUUGCAUCUCAUGGAACACCAUUUCCCCAGACAUGCCUGUGGCUGGCUCCUGGUGCCCGAGGCCCAAGUGUCUGAUGCUUUAAGGCACAUCACCCCACUCAUGCUUUUCCAUGUUCUUUGGCCGCAGCAAGGCCGCUCUCACUGCAAAGUUAACUCUGAUGCGUGUGUAACAACAUCCUCCUCCCAGUCGCCCCUGUAGCUCCCCUACCUCCAAGAGCCCAGCCCUUGCCCACAGGGCCACACUCCACGUGCAGAGCAGCCUCAGCACUCACCGGGCACGAGCGAGCCUGUGUGGUGCGCAGGGAUGAGAAGGCAGAGGCGCGACUGGGGUUCGUGAGGAAAGGCAGGAGGAGGGUGUGGGAUGGUGGAGGGGUUUGAGAAGGCAGAGGCGUGACUGGGGUUCAUGAGGAAAGGCAGGAGGAGGGUGUGGGAUGGUGGAGGGGUUUGAGAAGGCAGAGGCGUGACUGGGGUUCAUGAGGAAAGGCAGGAGGAGGGUGUGGGAUGGUGGAGGGGCUGCAGACUCUGGGCUUGGGAAAGCUGGGGUGUCUCUAAAGGUUGGAAUGAAUGGCCUAGAAUCGGACCCAAUAAGCCAAAGCCACUUCCACCAACGUUAGAAGGCCUUGGCCCCCAGAGAGCCAAUUUCACAAUCCAGGAGUCCCCGUGCCCUAAUGGGUCUGCCCUGAUUACUCCUGGCUCCUUGUGUGCAGGGGGCUCAGGCAUGGCAGGGCUGGGAGUACCAGCAGGCACUCAAGCGGCUUAAGUGUUCCAUGACAGACUGGUAUGAAGGUGGCCACAAUUCAGAAAGAAAAAAGAAGAGCACCAUCUCCUUCCAGUGAGGAAGCGGGGCCACCACCCAGCGUGUGCUCCAUCUUUUCUGGCUGGGGAGAGGCCUUCAUCUGCUGUAAAGGGUCCUCCAGCACAAGCUGUUUUAAUUUACCCUAGUUCCCAAGGCAGCCUCAUUCUGCCUUGGGUGCUGACACGACCUUCGGUAGGUGCAUAAGCUCUGCAUUCGAGGUCCACAGGGGCAGUGGGAGGGAACUGAGACUGGGGAGGGACAAAGGCUGCUCUGUCCUGGUGCUCCCACAAAGGACAGAAGGGCUGAUCACUCAAAGUUGCGAACACCAAGCUCAACAAUGAGCCCUGGAAAAUUUCUGGAAUGGAUUAUUACACAGAGAGUCUGUAAGCACUUAGAAAAGGCCGCGGUGAGUCCCAGGGGCCAGCACUGCUCGAAGUGUACAGCAUUUCUCUUUGUAACAGGAUUAGUAGCUUGCUGUGCCCGGGGAGAACAUGCAGCACAGCGCAUCUCGAGUCAGCAGGAUUUCGACGGCUUCUAACAAAAUCCUGUAGACAAGAUGGAGCUAUGGGGGUUGGAGGAGAGAACAUAUAG